GAUGAACGCUGGCGGCGUGCCUAAUACAUGCAAGUCGAGCGAACAGAUGAGGAGCUUGCUCCUCUGACGUUAGCGGCGGACGGGUGAGUAACACGUGGAUAACCUACCUAUAAGACUGGGAUAACUUCGGGAAACCGGAGCUAAUACCGGAUAAUAUAUUGAACCGCAUGGUUCAAUAGUGAAAGACGGUUUUGCUGUCACUUAUAGAUGGAUCCGCGCCGCAUUAGCUAGUUGGUAAGGUAACGGCUUACCAAGGCAACGAUGCGUAGCCGACCUGAGAGGGUGAUCGGCCACACUGGAACUGAGACACGGUCCAGACUCCUACGGGAGGCAGCAGUAGGGAAUCUUCCGCAAAGGGCGAAAGCCUGACGGAGCAACGCCGCGUGAGUGAUGAAGGUCUUCGGAUCGUAAAACUCUGUUAUUAGGGAAGAACAAAUGUGUAAGUAACUAUGCACGUCUUGACGGUACCUAAUCAGAAGGCCACGGCUAACUACGUG
Molecule: ribosomal RNA, 497 nt
Filed under: uncultured bacterium
Lineage: Bacteria
Description: partial 16S ribosomal RNA
Rfam family: Bacterial small subunit ribosomal RNA
Source: RNAcentral